Non-coding RNA from Erinaceus europaeus (western European hedgehog), 511 nucleotides. Lineage: Eukaryota; Metazoa; Chordata; Mammalia; Eulipotyphla; Erinaceidae. The record is from the annotation of a RefSeq genome assembly.
GAGGACACUGUGCACCAUGAUCUGGAUUCUUCUUUUCCUUGUUCUCCUCUUUCACUGCAAAGGUUCCCUCUCCCAGCCUGUGCUGACUCAACCACCCACCUUCUCUGCAUCUCCUGGAUCAACAGCCAGACUCACCUGCACUCUGAGCAGUGACAUAAUUGUUAGUAAUUACAGAAUAUACUGGUACCAGCAGAAACCAGGAAGUCCACCACGGUUUCUCCUGAGCUUCUAUACAGACUCAAGUAAAGAACAGGGCUCUGGAGUCCCAAGUUACUUCUCUGGAUCAAAAGAUUCUUCAGCCAAUGCAGGACUUCUGCUCAUCUCGGGGGUGCAGGCUGAGGAUGAGGCUGACUAUUACUGUACCCUAUGGCACACUAGCACUAAAACUUACACUGUGAUCCAGAUCUGGAGGGAAGUGAGAGUAAAACCUCUUCUGUGUCUCUGCCAGGAACCAAAGCUAACUCUGGGUGUCAUCUAUGUCACUUCCUCAGACACCAGUUCUUUUUCAUAA